RNAcentral lists this ribosomal RNA (465 nucleotides) under uncultured Planctomycetota bacterium. Its description in RNAcentral is "bacterial SSU rRNA". It matches the Rfam family "Bacterial small subunit ribosomal RNA", at positions 97 to 570 of the family's 1533-position model. The record is from RNAcentral. Lineage: Bacteria; Pseudomonadati; Planctomycetota.
GGCGAAAGGGAGAGUAACGCGUUAGGAGACCUGCCCUCGGGCCCGGGAUAGCGGCGGGAAACUGCCGGUAAUACCGGAUAAUGUCCCCGGACCAAAGGUGUGAUUCCGCCUGAGGAUGGUCCUGCGUCCUAUUAGUUAGUUGGUGGGGUAACGGCUCACCAAGACGAUGAUGGGUAGCGGGCGUGAGAGCGUGGCCCGUCUCACUGGGACUGAGACACUGCCCAGACACCUACGGGUGGCUGCAGUCGAGAAUCUUCCGCAAUGGACGCAAGUCUGACGGAGCGACGCCGCGUGCGGGAUGAAGGCCUUCGGGUUGUAAACCGCUGUCAGUGGGGUGGAAAUCGGUUGGGGCACUCCCCUUCCGUUGACCUAACCGCANAGGAAGUCCGGGCUAAGUACGUGCCANCAGCCGCGGUAAUACGUACCGGACGAACGUUAUUCGGAAUCACUGGGCUUAAAGAGUGC